ACAUGACAGCGACGACCCAGAUUACGUGCCACUUUUUCGUGUGUGCAAAGGCAGAUCUCUGAAUACUGGGUUCAUCCUUGAAGAAUGUCCAUCAGUCACCAUGGAAGACACUGCAUGACGCGGGAGACGACACAGAUCAAGAUGAUCAUGAAGAAGAUCUCUCUGUGCUGGAGCAAGAGCAAGAGACACAACAUCUUCCCCAAAAAAAGCAAAGAAGGCAACCAUAUAGAUCAGAGAUAACUGUUGAGGUGGAAGAUGAUAUAAUUGGCAAACCGGCUUCUAUUGCUUACCAUGACUGUCUGAGGCAGCUUUGUGAGUUUGUUGCUUUGCCAAUAGAUUCUUGUAAAGGGAAGGACCCCAUCACCCAAAAACAAUGUCAGGCAAAAGGACCUUUUGAGAUUAACAUCAAGUCAAGGGUCACAGCUGCCGUCAUUGAAUGGCUGUGUCCUCAAGGUCGUGUGGCGGUGGUCUUCCCAACCAACUUUAAAAGUCAGUUAGGAGACUUUCUAAUGGCCACCAAUAUUUUGCUCACAGGCAACAACUACACAAAGGUGAAAAUGCUUUUCAACUUCAUGAAUAUGGGGAUGAUCAAUGAGAGAUACUUUGCUGACAUCCAAGACAACUACUGUGUGGACACUAUAAAGGCGUUCUGGAAUGCGAGAAGAGCCAAAGUGAUUGCCAAUGUGAAGACAUUAGGACCAACUGUUGCUCUCGGAGAUGGAAGGAUGGACAGUGCAGGAUUCUGCGCGCAGUACUGUACGUACACUGCCAUGGACAAUGCCACAAGACAAAUAAUCAACGUGGUGAAUGUGGACAAGCGUGAGACUUCGCGGAAAUCGACCAACAUGGAGAAGGUGGCCUUUAUAGAGACAUUAGACACGCUGAAGCAAGAUCUUGAUGUCAUUGAGUUCUGCACUGAUGCACACAGCCAAAUAUCGGCCCUAUUCA
Molecule: long non-coding RNA, 948 nt
Organism: Gadus macrocephalus (Pacific cod)
Lineage: Eukaryota; Metazoa; Chordata; Actinopteri; Gadiformes; Gadidae
Exons: 4
Source: RefSeq, a predicted model, not a curated record